UACGUAGGUGGCGAGCGUUGUCCGGAUUUACUGGGCGUAAAGGAUGCGUAGGUGGUAACUUAAGUGGGAUGUGAAAUCCCCGGGCUCAACCCGGGAACUGCAUUCCAAACUGAGUAACUAGAGUGCAGGAGAGGAAAGCGGAAUUCCUAGUGUAGCGGUGAAAUGCGUAGAUAUUAGGAGGAACACCAGUGGCGAAGGCGGCUUUCUGGACUGUAACUGACACUGAGGCAUGAAAGCGUGGGGAGCAAACAGGAUUAGAAACCCCCGUAGUCC
RNAcentral lists this ribosomal RNA (273 nucleotides) under uncultured prokaryote. Its description in RNAcentral is "partial 16S ribosomal RNA". It matches the Rfam family "Bacterial small subunit ribosomal RNA", at positions 524 to 796 of the family's 1533-position model. The record is from RNAcentral.